UCUUAACAGUCUAUCUCCCUGAACGGAUUAUCCAGAGCUAGGGAUAUAUGGCUGGCAGAGCAGUUCUCCAUUGAAUUGUCAGUGAAGCUCAUAACGAUCCUUGAAAAUCCGAGUAAGAUUAUCUCAUCACACCAGGUCGUACCCAUAACCGCAUCAGGUCUCCGAGGUUAGCAGCCUCUGGUCGAUAGAAUAACGUAGAUAAGGGAAUUCGGCAAAUUAGAUCCGUAACUUCGGGAAAAGGAUUGGCUCUGAGGGUUGAGUGUGGUGCCAAUGAAAUGGAACUAGGAUCUGUACUGGUGUUGGUCGCAAGAUCGAAACCGGCAUGGAGAGAAGGAAAAUUUUUGCGGCUAGCACAAUUAACAACCGACUCAGAACUGAAGCGGACAAGGGGAAUCCGACUGUUUAAUAAAAACAUAGCUUUGUGAUGGCCUCAAAAGGUGUUGACACAAAGUGAUUUCUGCCCAGUGCUUUGAAUGUGAGUAUGAAGUAAUUUAUAGAAGCUCAGGUAAACGGCGGGAGUAACUAUGACUCUCUUAAGGUAGCCAAAUGCCUCGUCAUCUAAUUAGUGACGCGCAUGAAUGGAUUAAUGAGAUUCCCACUGUCCCUAUCUACCAUCUAGCGGACCCAUAGCCAAGGGAACGAGCUUGGAAUAAUCAGCGGGGAAAGAAGACCCUGUUGAGCUUGACUCUAGUCCGACUUUGUGAAAUGACUUUCGAGAUAUAGCCUAAGUGGGAGCUAACGCGCCGCUGUAAAACCACUGCUCGCUUAGCCAUUUUACUUACUCCAUGAAGAAGUGGCCGAUUUUUCGGUUCUUAGAUUUAAGCCCUGACUCGUAUCAGGGCAAGCUUUGUGGAGGACACAGUCAGGUGGGGAGUCUGACUGGGGCGGUACAUCUGUUAAAACGUAACGCAGGUGUCCUACGGUGAGCUCAAAGAGAACAGAAAUCUCUUGUAGACCAAAAGGGGAAAAGCUCACUUGAUUUUGAUUUUCAGUACUAAUACAAACCGCGAAAGCGUGGCCUAUCGAUCCUUUAACUUUACAAGUUUUAAGCUAGAGGUGUCAGAAAAGUUACCACAGGGAUAACUGGCUUGUGGCAGCCAAGCGCCCAUAGCGACGUUGCUUUUUGAUCCUUCGAUGUCGGCUCUUCCUAUCAUUGUGAUGUACAAGUCACAACGUGUUGGAUUGUUCACCCGUUAAUAGGGAACGUGAGCUGGGUUUAGACCGUCGUGAGACAGGUUAGUUUUACCCUACUGAUGAAUCGAUGUUGCGACAGUAAUCUUACUUAGUACGAGAGGAACCGUUAGAUCAGAUAAUUGGUUAAUACGGUUAGCUGAAAAGCUAAUGCCGUGAAGCUACCAUCUGUUGGAUUAUGACUGAAAGCCUCUAAGUCAGAAACCAUGCUGGAAAGCAACGUCCAAUCAAUAAUAAAUGAAAAAGAAUAAGGGAAACCUUUAGU
This 1456-nucleotide ribosomal RNA is filed under the name metagenome. RNAcentral's name for it is "eukaryotic LSU rRNA". It matches the Rfam family "Eukaryotic large subunit ribosomal RNA", at positions 1701 to 3203 of the family's 3401-position model. The record is from RNAcentral.